GUGGGGAAUAUUGGGCAAUGGGCGCAAGCCUGACCCAGCAACGCCGCGUGAAGGAAGAAGGCUUUCGGGUUGUAAACUUCUUUUGUCAGGGACGAAGCAAGUGACGGUACCUGACGAAUAAGCCACGGCUAACUACGUGCCAGCAGCCGCGGUAAUACGUAGGUGGCAAGCGUUAUCCGGAUUUACUGGGUGUAAAGGGCGUGUAGGCGGGAAAGCAAGUCAGAUGUGAAAACUGUGGGCUCAACCCAUAGCUUGCAUUUGAAACUGUUUUUCUUGAGUACUGGAGAGGCAGAUGGAAUUCCUAGUGUAGCGGUGAAAUGCGUAGAUAUUAGGAGGAACACCAGUGGCGAAGGCGAUCUGCUGGACAGCAACUGACGCUGAGGCGCGAAAGCGUGGGGAGCAAACAGGAUUAGAAACCCCUGUAGUCC
This 428-nucleotide ribosomal RNA is filed under the name uncultured bacterium. RNAcentral's name for it is "partial 16S ribosomal RNA". It matches the Rfam family "Bacterial small subunit ribosomal RNA", at positions 354 to 796 of the family's 1533-position model. The record is from RNAcentral.